GAUGAACGCUGGCGGCGUGCUUAACACAUGCAAGUCGAACGGAAAGGCCCCUGCUUGCAGGGGUACUCGAGUGGCGAACGGGUGAGUAACACGUGGGUGAUCUGCCCUUCACUUCGGGAUAAGCUUGGGAAACUGGGUCUAAUACCGGAUAGGACCAUGGUUUGGAUGCCAUUGUGGGAAGUUUUUCGGUGGGGGAUGAGCUCGCGGCCUAUCAGCUUGUUGGUGGGGGAAUGGCUUACCAAGGCGUCGACGGGUAGCCGGCCUGAGAGGGUGUACGGCCACAUUGGGACUGAGAUACGGCCCAGACUCCUACGGGAGGCAGCAGUGGGGAAUAUUGCACAAUGGGCGCAAGCCUGAUGCAGCGACGCCGCGUGGGGGAUGACGGCCUUCGGGUUGUAAACUCCUUUCGCUAGGGACGAAGCGCAAGUGACGGUACCUGGAGAAGAAGCACCGGCUAACUACGUG
This 465-nucleotide ribosomal RNA is filed under the name uncultured bacterium. Its description in RNAcentral is "partial 16S ribosomal RNA". It matches the Rfam family "Bacterial small subunit ribosomal RNA", at positions 28 to 507 of the family's 1533-position model. The record is from RNAcentral.